This 71-nucleotide transfer RNA is filed under the name Triticum aestivum (bread wheat). It matches the Rfam family "tRNA". From Rfam's summary of the family: Transfer RNA (tRNA) molecules are approximately 80 nucleotides in length. Their secondary structure includes four short double-helical elements and three loops (D, anti-codon, and T loops). Further hydrogen bonds mediate the characteristic L-shaped molecular structure. tRNAs have two regions of fundamental functional importance: the anti-codon, which is responsible for specific mRNA codon recognition, and the 3' end, to which the tRNAs corresponding amino acid is attached (by aminoacyl-tRNA synthetases). tRNAs cope with the degeneracy of the genetic code in two manners: having more than one tRNA (with a specific anti-codon) for a particular amino acid; and 'wobble' base-pairing, i.e. permitting non-standard base-pairing at the 3rd anti-codon position. The record is from Rfam by way of RNAcentral. Lineage: Eukaryota; Viridiplantae; Streptophyta; Magnoliopsida; Poales; Poaceae.
GACUCCGUGGCCCAAUGGAUAAGGCGCUGGUCUACGAAACCAGAGAUUCUGGGUUCGAUCCCAGGUAGUCC